RNAcentral lists this ribosomal RNA (252 nucleotides) under uncultured bacterium. Its description in RNAcentral is "partial 16S ribosomal RNA". It matches the Rfam family "Bacterial small subunit ribosomal RNA", at positions 524 to 776 of the family's 1533-position model. The record is from RNAcentral.
UACGUAGGGCCCGAGCGUUGUCCGGAUUUAUUGGGCGUAAAGGGAACGUAGGCGGUUGGAAAAGUUUGAAGUGAAAGGCUAUAGCUAAACCAUAGUAAGCUUUUAAAACUGUUUAACUUGAGAGCAGAAAGGGAAAGUGGAAAUCCCAGUGUAACGGUGAAAUGCGUAGAUAUAAGGAGGAAUACCGGUGGCGAAGGCGACUUUCUGGACAUUAUCUGACGCUGAGGUACGAAAGCGUGGGGAGCAAACAGG